GCAUCUGUUGUGUGGGUGUUGAAGGCUGCAUGGAAAGUCCAUGUAGUUGAGAGAGUAAAUUAGGAUCAGCAGAUGCUAAUAGGUCAUCAAGGUUAGUUGGAUUCAAAUCAGCAAUUCUGUUGAAUUCGUUGUUCCGGAAAGAAGGGGAAGAGAUUCUAGCAAUCUCUUCAAUCAAUUGUUGUUGUUGAAGCUGUUGUUGUUGACGACGAGGACUGUCAAGACCGAGCAGUUCCAUCUCAAGAUCCAUAUCCCUGGCACUCAAAGCACUCUUCAACCGGCUACCUUGUAGCUGCAAUGAUGGUGGAGUGAGGUUUAUUUUGUUCUGCCACAAGUUUCCACUCUUGGGAGAUGAUGAACCUGCCAAGGGAGACAUGGGCGGUGUUGAAACGGUUGACAUAGGCAAAGAUGAGGAGCUAAGAGACAACGGACUCAUCGAUGUCAUG
RNAcentral lists this long non-coding RNA (443 nucleotides) under Trifolium pratense (red clover). RNAcentral's name for it is "long non-coding RNA (TPRA_LNC002690)". Lineage: Eukaryota; Viridiplantae; Streptophyta; Magnoliopsida; Fabales; Fabaceae. The record is from RNAcentral.